Molecule: non-coding RNA, 1061 nt
Filed under: Photobacterium iliopiscarium
Lineage: Bacteria; Pseudomonadati; Pseudomonadota; Gammaproteobacteria; Vibrionales; Vibrionaceae
Description: bacterial LSU rRNA
Rfam family: Bacterial large subunit ribosomal RNA
Source: RNAcentral
CUUGAGUCUGGGAUUUCCGAAUGGGGAAACCCACUUGCAUAAGCAAGUAUCAUUAACUGAAUACAUAGGUUAAUGAGGCAAACCGGGGGAACUGAAACAUCUAAGUACCCCGAGGAAGAGAAAUCAACCGAGAUUCCGGUAGUAGCGGCGAGCGAAACCGGAUUAGCCCUUAAGCUAGUUCUGCGUUAGGUGAAUGUACUGGAAAGUACAGCGAUACAGGGUGAUAGCCCCGUAACCAAAAAUGCAGUCUUAGUGAAAUCGAGUAGGACGGGACACGUGAUAUCCUGUUUGAACAUGGGGGGACCAUCCUCCAAGGCUAAAUACUCCUGACUGACCGAUAGUGAACCAGUACCGUGAGGGAAAGGCGAAAAGAACCCCUGUGAGGGGAGUGAAAUAGAACCUGAAACCGUGUACGUACAAGCAGUAGGAGCAUACUUGUUAUGUGACUGCGUACCUUUUGUAUAAUGGGUCAGCGACUUAAUUUUAGUAGCAAGGUUAACCGUUUAGGGGAGCCGUAGGGAAACCGAGUCUUAACUGGGCGAAUUAGUUGCUAGGAUUAGACCCGAAACCGAGUGAUCUAGCCAUGGGCAGGUUGAAGGUGAGGUAACACUUACUGGAGGACCGAACCGACUAAUGUUGAAAAAUUAGCGGAUGACUUGUGGCUAGGGGUGAAAGGCCAAUCAAACUCGGAGAUAGCUGGUUCUCCCCGAAAGCUAUUUAGGUAGCGCCUCGGACGAAUACUACUGGGGGUAGAGCACUGGUUAAGGCUAGGGGGUCAUCCCGACUUACCAACCCUUUGCAAACUCCGAAUACCAGUAAGUAAUAUCCGGGAGACACACGGCGGGUGCUAACGUCCGUCGUGAAGAGGGAAACAACCCAGACCGCCAGCUAAGGUCCCAAAGUUAUAGCUAAGUGGGAAACGAUGUGGGAAGGCUCAGACAGCCAGGAUGUUGGCUUAGAAGCAGCCAUCAUUUAAAGAAAGCGUAAUAGCUCACUGGUCGAGUCGGCCUGCGCGGAAGAUUUAACGGGGCUAAGCUAUACACCGAAGCUGCGGCAAUGUG